GGGUCUCCAGCCACCCAGGGCGGGUUAAAUGGCUCUGGCUCAGUGACAACGCCUUUGCAGUAACCGUUACUGCCUGAUGACCCCAAAACCAGUCCUGCAAAGACACUCCCCCCACUCCCUCAACGGUCUUAGGGGAAAGAUUUGCCCUGAGCUAACAUCUGUUGCCAGUCUUCCUCUUUUUUUCCCCCCCAAAGCCCCAGUGCAUGGUUGUGUAUCCUACAUGUAAGUCAUUCUAGUUCUUCCAUGUGAGCUGCCGCCACAGCAUGGCAACUGACAGACGGGUGGUGUGUUUCUGCAACCCAGAAACAAAACUAGGCCACUGAAGCAGUGAGCACCGAACUUUAACCACUAGGCCAUCAGGGCUGGUUCAUAUUGCAUUUUUUUAAAAAGGAGUUAAAAUAUGAUACUAACUUUGUGGAGAAAUUCUAUGUACACAUAUGCAUAGAAAAAGACUGGAAGGAAAUACUGGAGAUAAUAAUACCUCAUAGGGAUGCUGUUACAAUUAAGUGAGAUGUAUACUUGCCUGACAUAUAGCAGGUGUUUAAUAGAUACUGGUUACUAUUAUCAUAAAAGAAAUAUAUCUGACUUCAUGCAUGGUCUGGGACUUCACAGCCUGGAGCCUUCAUAUCCUGAAAAUACAUGAUUUAUUUUUUGUCUUCGACUAAGCCAGGAGUGCCCACAGUUGAUAGGUUUGCAUAUGUAUCAGCCACAGAUGAAAGGCUCUAACAUAGAAUGGGCUGGUAAUGGGGGGAUGGAGUGUUAAGUAAGAGUUUUGGCCUGCAAUUCAACAUUCUUGUUUUCAGCCUUGUUAUAGUUAUGGCGACGUAGUCUUCCGUUCCGUUCCUUGUUAUUCACUGUUUAUAAAGCACUCCCAAAGUGCUGUAACCACUAUAAGACAUGUAAAAACUCAGUCCCUGUCCUCGUAAGAGUUCUUUCAUUUUAAUUAUAUAUAUAUUUUUCUGAUUACAAAAAUUUAAAUAUUCACUAUAACAAUUUUGGAAAGCAUAGAAAGUCUGAAGAAUAAAGCAAUAAUCACUCAUAUCCUAUUAUACCUGGAGAUAACCACUGCUCUUUUUGAUGUAUGUCCUUCCAGUCCUUUUUUUGCAUUUUUUUGCAAAAUUGGAAUUAUCUUCUACAAUAUGUUUGUAACCAUCGUAGGCCAAUUCAUACUGACCCUCUUGUAUCCUAUUAUAUCACUAACAAUGUUGUAUCAAAAGUUGUUUUGUAGGGGUAAUGAGUAAAAACUGCAAGUCGUGUAGGUGGAGCGUGCUCAGAAGAUGGAAACCUUGUCCUCAGAUGAUCUCGAGCUGCCUAGGAACCAAAAGUUCCCCAACUACAGAACUUAAUGUAAAGAAAAAGUGGAAUGGGGAACCUAAUAACAAGCGAGGGGUCCCUUGGUUUGUAGCAUAUCGGACUUAUAAGACUGUUACACUUUCACCCUCCAAUAAGAUUCCACCAAGUUAGCAUUUUGUAUAACUACUCCCACUCCCAGAUCCUUAAAAGUUUGGCCCUGCUUCAGCUCUAGCAGACAGAUUUGAACCUUGCCUCCUGUCUGCUUGCUGGUUGGCCACGCAAUAAAGCUCGCUCUUCUCUCAAAGGCCAGUGCUGUAGUAUUGGCUUCCAUUCACAUUGGGCAGCUAGCCCUUGCUCAGUAACAAAUUUGGCGACCGCAAAGGGACUUCUGGUCUUUUGACUGUCAGCUUGAAGCUUGGUGGCCCCUCAGUGGAGUGCUGGCCCUCAUUGUCAGCCUUCACUGGCUGCCUGGACUGCUUUAGUCUAGAGAUUCGACUUUUGGGAUGCUGCUUCCCCACCAAAGCACCACCAGCUCUUUGGCACUACUUUCUCUUUUGAGAAAAGAAAUCACUUCUGGAUCAAGACAUCUCUGGAGAAAGUAGAUAUUAAAGUCCUCCCAGAACACGCCUGCAUCCUCCAAGCUGUGCUGUUGCAAUUGGAAGACGAGCCUCGAUUAGAGUGCCCUGAAGAAGUUCUAUGAAAGAACUGACCUGACUGAUCAGCCUUUGGAAAAUCCAGACAUGGAAAUGUUUACUGACGAGAGCAGUUUCAUGCAUCAUGGACUCUGGAAAGCCAGGUAUGCAAUAGUAACUCAUCAGGAGGUCCUAGAAGCGAAAGCCCUCCCUCCAGGUACGUCUGCCCAGAAGGGAGAGCUCAUAGCCCUAACAAGAGCCCUGUAUCUUGGAGCUAAGAAAAAGGCAGCCAUUUAUAUAGAUUCUAAGUAUGCCUUCUCUGUCAUGCAUGCACAUGGGGCCAUAUGGAAAGAGAGAGGUCUGUUAACAUCAGGAAGGAAAGAGAUUAAACAUGCAGAAGAGAUACUGGCCUUAUUAGAAGCUGUUAUGAUGUCAGAAGAAGUAGCCAUAGUAUAUUGCCCAGGCCACCAAAAGACUGACAGUUAUAUAGCCAAAGGAAAUAAUUUCCCAAUCAGGCUGCACAACGGGCAGCCAGAACCAAAACCACAAUUCCUAAGGCCCUAGCACUCAUUCCUAGUGUGGAUCUGUCCCUGUUUAAGCCUCAGUAUUCAGAAGUAGAUCUAGACAGAGCAGAUGAAUGGGGAUUUCGUGCUGACUCUCGAGACUUAGAUGGUGAUCAGUACCAAACAACCAAAGAAGGCUGGGUUUAUAAUGAACAGGGACUAGUGCUUAUCCAUGAGCAUUUAAUAGAAGGAAUUAUUACUCACCUACAUCAAGCAACCCAUUAUGGGAGAGAUGCAACUUAUCAUUGGUAACAAAAAUUUGUUGUUGGUCCACAAAUGCGAAGGACUAUCCAAAAGGUAAUACAAAAUUGCCUGAUUUGCACCAGAAACAAUCACCAUACUGGGCCACCUCCAUUAAUAAAAGGGGUACAAACCCAAGGGAUAGAACCAGGAGAUGAUUGGCAAAUUGACUUUACUGUUAUGCCAAGAGCCAUAGGAAGUUAUAGGUAUUUGUGGACACUUUCACAGGAUGGGUUGAUGCUUUUGCAUGCAGGAUGGAAAAGGCUUCCAAAGUUACAAAGGCCUUACUAAAAGAAGUCAUCCCUCGUUUUGGGCUGCCUCUUUCAAUUAAAAGUGACAAUGGAGGAGCUUUCAUAGCCAAGGGAACACAAGCGAUGUCUGGGGCCCUUGGAAUACAAUGGAAGUUGCAUCCUUCAUAGAGACCUCAGUCUACAGGAAAGACUGAAAAGAUGAACCAUACCUUAAAGAAAACAAUUGCCAAAAUAUGUCAGGAAACCAAUUUAACAUGGGAUAAGGUCUUGCCAGUUGCCACACUUAGGGUAAGAGUAGCCUCUAGAAGUAGGCUUCAACUGAGCCCCUAUGAAAUAUUAUAUUGGAGACCCUUCCUUAAGACUAAGUAUUCUUGCAGUCUUGAAAAUGGUCAUAUUGUAAAAGAAUUGGAUGCUUUAAAAUGUGUACAGUCUCUAGGUGCUACUUUAUCUGCUAUACAUAAAUAUGCUUCUAGCCAAUUAAUGUUUCCUACAGACAUUCCCCUGCACUGUAUAAGUCUGGGUGAUUGGGUCCUCCUCAAGGCUUGGAAGAAUCCACACCAUGAGGAUCAACUACAAUCUAAGUGGAAUGGACCCUAUGAAGUCCUUCUGGUUACAUACUCUUCAGUUAAAUUAAAAGGAGUUACACCUUGUAUGCAUCGCUCAGCCCCCCGGUACAUAGUUGAAUAUUCUUCGUUGUGGGUCCUUCUAGUUGUGGCAUGUGG
Molecule: non-coding RNA, 3701 nt
Organism: Equus caballus (horse)
Lineage: Eukaryota; Metazoa; Chordata; Mammalia; Perissodactyla; Equidae
Source: RefSeq, a predicted model, not a curated record